RNAcentral lists this ribosomal RNA (253 nucleotides) under uncultured bacterium. RNAcentral's name for it is "partial 16S ribosomal RNA". It matches the Rfam family "Bacterial small subunit ribosomal RNA", at positions 524 to 776 of the family's 1533-position model. The record is from RNAcentral.
UACGUAGGGUGCGAGCGUUAAUCGGAAUUACUGGGCGUAAAGCGUGCGCAGGCGGUUCGUUAAGUUCGUUGUGAAAGCCCCGGGCUCAACCUGGGAACUGCAAUGGAAACUGGCGGGCUUGAGUAUGGCAGAGGGGGGUGGAAUUCCGCGUGUAGCAGUGAAAUGCGUAGAGAUGCGGAGGAACACCGAUGGCGAAGGCAGCCCCCUGGGUCAACACUGACGCUCAUGCACGAAAGCGUGGGGAGCAAACAGG